GCGCCCGUAGCUCAGUCGGAUAGAGCACCAGAUUCCUAAUCUGGGGGUCACAGGUUCGAAUCCUGUCGGGCGCGCCA
RNAcentral lists this transfer RNA (77 nucleotides) under Gammaproteobacteria bacterium. RNAcentral's name for it is "tRNA-Arg". It matches the Rfam family "tRNA". Rfam says of the family: Transfer RNA (tRNA) molecules are approximately 80 nucleotides in length. RNAcentral also lists the same sequence under 4 other names. The record is from RNAcentral. Lineage: Bacteria; Pseudomonadati; Pseudomonadota; Gammaproteobacteria.